CCCGGAACCGCCUCUGGGGAAACACAGCUGCUCAAUGAGGGCGUGGCCGAGCUCAGAACCUUUCUGUCUUGGACUAGAUUCUGUUUCAUUUAUUUCCUUCAGUGCUAAGCACAUCGUGUCACAGGAAUGCUUGUCAGCAUUAGAAAAACUUACGUCUGAAUGUUUACCCCUUUGGAUCAUUUCUUUUUUAAAAGAAGAGCGAGCGUGCAAAGAGCACGAUUAAACGGAGCAACACAGGCCUAGACACCUUUCUAGGAGCCUCAUGUGCCAUGCGCUUUGCCGGAAUAAAAUCCAUUCAGCGAGCCUCCCCUCCUCCUCCUGUUGUUUACUUGGCUUCAAUACCACGUGACCCUCGGGCCCGGGAAACGCUGACCCUGAAGGGCCCCAUCCUCCCGCGUGGGCUGCCUCUCCUGUCCCGGGCCUCGCACCGAGACCCCACACCGCUGGUGUCACGGACAGCAGCCGAAGGCAAGUGUCGCUUUGCCUUGUUGCCAUUGUCAUGAUUAUUUACACUCACGCAGACCCCCAGCGGGACCACACGCACGCUCACAGGGUGCAGCGGGGCCCGCAGCCCGGCCGUGCAGCAGGCGGCUGAGUGGCUGUGGACGCGGCGCUGAUCUGGGGGAGGCGCCGAUGAAUAUGCGAUGAAUAUGCAUCGCCCUGCCCUCAUCUCCGGACAGAGAUGAUCGAUACCGGGCCGGGGCUGCGUCCACCAGCGCACAGGAAGCUCCGGGGAGAGGCCGGGCCUCGCUCCCGCUCAUGGUCACGGCCACGGACAAGGACGCGCCGGAGGCUUCCCCGCGGCCGUCCGGAGGGCCCUCAUUAUCCACGCGGAUCACGAUGAUGAAUGCCAGCUUGUCCUCGCCGCUGAGAACAGCCUGAGUGAAAGCCGUCCUGGCCUCCUGCUCUGACUGCAAGGGCUGGUUCCUUCUCUGUGUUCGCCUCGUUAAUCCCCUAAAUGGACCGAUGGCUGCAUUUCACGCUCAGGUUCGGGCGUCUGUGGUUGAUCGCAGGCAUGACUCUGCACUGAACCGAAGCCCCCAGCUCGGCUAGAACACGUGUCCUGCCGUCAGCAUGUCCCACAGACGUGGCCACGGGGCCGGCUGGGGACGCGGAAAGCCACCCGCGCACCCACGAGCACCCCGGCUGCCUCGGAGGGGAGCGCCAGCUGGAAAUGGAUCUGUUCCUUCUGCAGGACCUCGCCGCACGCGUGCCUGUCCGGGAGUCCCAGAACCGCUCCAGCUGUGAGUUUGCAAGGCCUCAACCCAGGACCUGUGAUUGUGAGCUCAGGACUUUAAGACCACGAAGCACUGCUCGGUUUGCCGAAUGCCCAGUGGUCAGUUCCCAGCUGGGGAGACGGUGGGGAUGAUUUUAUUACAGUAAAGGAAACGAACUCAGCCCCGCCCUAAGGUUCCGAAUGCGGUGGGAGUACCGGCUGCAGCUGGACGGGCCGGCGGAAGAAGCAGGAGAAGGCCGUCCCCCCUGCAGCACGUUCUCCACUGCUAGCCGCAGAGUUUGUUUUCCUCUCUGAUUCCGGAACCUUCCUUGGCGCCGAUGUCAGAGGAUUCCUUAGUGGGGUCGGGGCAGCCAGCAAUGAGCUCCUCGGGUCAGCGGCCGCCGCCCUCGCCCUGCAGCCCGCGUCUUGCCUGGCCCCAGGCAUGGAAAACACACUCAUUAACGAGGUGUCCACUACUUCACAUGACACCAAUAAUCAGGAAAAGCGGAGGAUUGGCUUCCUAACCAGGCCGGCCAGCCAGUGACGCUGAGCACUCACCGGCGAGCGCCUUUCCCGCGGACGCCGUGCACACCACUAGUUCCUGUGUGAGUGUGCGAAUGCGUGUAACACAAAUUACCCCUGGGAUUCCCAUGCUUUGGUGUGUGUUUUGUUCAUUUAUUUUGGCCUAAUUCAUUAGCCUAAGUUUCCCAUGCAUUUCAUAGCUGUAAAUCUUGCCCAUUUUGUUGGGAAUAAAUCUUUGCUAUUAUA
This is a long non-coding RNA of Myotis myotis, 1984 nucleotides long. RefSeq lists it as uncharacterized. Lineage: Eukaryota; Metazoa; Chordata; Mammalia; Chiroptera; Vespertilionidae. The record is from RefSeq and is a predicted model, not a curated record. The transcript has 4 exons.